Molecule: long non-coding RNA, 997 nt
Organism: Zalophus californianus (California sea lion)
Lineage: Eukaryota; Metazoa; Chordata; Mammalia; Carnivora; Otariidae
Exons: 4
Source: RefSeq, a predicted model, not a curated record
AAUAUCCAAAAGACUUGCCCUAGAGGAAAUCAAGGUCUAAGUCAAGAGAUCAGGCACGGGUCCAAGAAAAACCCUCGUAGUUCGUUUUGCCGCUCUGCUGUUUCGUACCUCUGUGGGUUUCAUCAUUCCCUCAGGCCCGUCACCCUCUGUCACAGCGCCUCAGGGCAGGCGGGCGGGCUAGGAGAAAAAAGGGAUGUGAAUGAGAUUCUGAGAUUAAGAGGAAGACCUUAAUUACCUGCAGCUUGACUAAUCACAGCUCUCUAUUACUGAGAAUCUUCUACCACAUCUUUAGAAAGAAGAAAACUGCAACCAAAUAAGGUGUCACGACGGAUUCACUCGAAAAAUCAAUUUCCGAAGUCUGCGACAGAGUAUCAGCCCACUGGCUACUCUCUCGACGGCAUCCGGAUACAGCCAGGAAUCCACUGUGAGGCAGGGAUCAUCUUAUCCUGCUGAUUGCCCUUUGAUGAAUAAAAUAUAGGAGCAAUCAACAAUAAUAAUAUUAACAGAGUGGAUGCGCACAAGUGCCGAAGUCCUGAACUACAACAAGCCAAGGAUAUUGCAAUUCUCCAUUUGUUUCUGAUCAGAAAUCAUAACACCUCGUCGAAUAUUUCUGAUGAAUGUUUGAGGUUUGGGGAAGACGGAAUAGCGCAGUGGUAAGAAGAGCAGAUGUUGGUGUCAGGCUACCAGUGUUCCACGUGCAUCGUCUGUGUUACUGUGGAUAAGGAGACCCUAUGUGGACAGUAAGAAAGUCAAAGAGGACUGUCGUUAAGCUUAAAUGAGAUAACAGGUGUGAAAUACGUGGUACAUCACAAGCACUCAAUAAUUGCUAGCUAUUAUCAUGUUCCAUAGGAACAGCAAGAAGUAAAGUGUGCAGAACCCGAGUUUGCCAAGUGUUUUCACAUGCGUGUUCUGGGGUGAAGCAUGGUUCUUAAGAGUCAAACUUCUGGGGGCGCCUGGGUGGCUCAGACGGUUGGGCGUCUGCCUUCGGCUCCGGUCA